UUUAGAGAAAGGGUCUCGCUGAGUUGCUUAGUGCCUUGCUUUUGCUGAGGCUGGCUUUGAACUUGUGAUCCUCCUGCCUCAGCCUCCAGAGCCUUGGGGAUUACAGGCGUGUGCCACCAUGCCUGGCUGGUUGAUAACUUUUUAUAAAGCAUUUACAUUAUAUUACAUAUUAGAAGCAAUCUAGAAAUGCUUUAAGGUAUGUAGGAAGAUGUGCAUAGGUUAUAUGUAAAUACUAUGCCAUUUUGUUUAAGGGACUUAAGUGUCUAUUGAAAGACCUAAGCAAGCUCAUUCUACUUGGGACCUCAUUUUGCUCUGAAACUUAGCCUCUGACCUACUGCUGUCCUAAAGUCAGGAAAAUACCACAGAAAAGCUCUGUGGAAACAGUUCUCGGAAAAGCCGCAGACGGUGAUCACCUAAGAGAGGCCAAGAUAUCGAAAUAUCUGAAAUUCCAGAUGACCCCCACCUAGGUGUGGUGACCAAUAUCUAAACUAGAAGCCCUGCAGCUUGGCACGUACCCCCCUUGCGACACCCUCACGGUUUAAACCCAUCAAUUUUAAGUGCGUCAACCCCUGAACUAACCAAUAAUCCUUUCCAGAUUCUUUCCCACCACUUGAUACGCUAAUCAUGUUUCAGAGUUGUUUUAUGAUUUUCCCGCGGUGUGUGAUGAUUUGCUAAGAGAUGCUAUGAUGUAUGUGGGGUCCCUGCCUUCUCUAAAGAAGGUAUAAAACUGCUGCAAACCCUGGGCAUAACACUAUGGAUCAUGGCUUCCUCCCGGGUCCUGAACCAGUUCCCCACGGGCACUGGAUGUUAGAGGCUUCUGUGUGUAUUUGGUCUGGGACGCUUAGGUGGGGGCAUUUUGGAGCGAGGAUCACUGUGCCAGGCUCUCUGGGCUGGGGCCUCAUCCACCAAGGGUUAUUAAAUAGUGGGGGAUGGGCCUGCCACAGGCCACUCUCUGAGUCAGUCCUUUAGAUAAGGGGAGGACAGGAGUGAGAACCCUUGUUCUCCCAGGGAAAGCUGCGUGCUCCUGCUGUUGGGGGUUUUGUGUGCCUCAUUGUGUAUGAACUUGAGGGUCAUGACGUUUUCUGAGGAAGGCAGGGACAGAUCCUUCCUAGUCUCCAGGCUGCCUGUCCGUGGAGAACAGGGAGUAGCUGCUGUGAGGGCCUGACCGCCACCACCCUCUGCCCCCACCUUUGUUUAAGCCAGCAGUCAGAUUUUCCCAUGUGGAAAUAACCUUUCUUCCUUUCUCAAUUCAAGUGGUCAAGCAGGGUCGACCUCAACUACUGAAGCUGGGGUAGGCGUGUCCCUUGUCUCUGGCCAGUAACGGGCCCCAGCCCCUGGUCACCAUAUAGACUGAUAGACAGAUAUGGGAGCAUUCUGUCAGGAAUGGGGUUGCUAGCUGGCCCAGGACAGGACUGUGGACACAGCUUGCCUGAGUGGAACCAGCCCAAGAACACCAGCUCUGGGGGACAGCGGGAGGCCCUUGGCCUGAAUUUGCUGUGUCUGGUGCUAGCCACACCUCUAGGCUUUAGAGUUCUCCCGAGAGCUUCGAUUCCUUCAGCUCAGCCAGUCUAAUUGGGUGGCUGCACCUGAGGGGCCCAAGCUUGAAACAGGAAGUGCCUCGGUUUGAUAACUUAGGUGAUUAGCAUUGUACUAGAGUGACCUCUGCGACAAAUUCAGUUACCGCAUGGUCCAGCUAGCACUGCUGAGAGCCAAGCUCUGCCCCUUGAACGGCACCAAUAAAAGCAGGAUUCAGAGAGCCAGAGUACCUGACUCCAGACCCUUCUUCAUGCAAGUGGAGUGAUUUGGUGAGCUUCCUAGUGAUGAUGGAUCAGCCCUGUCAUCUCUAAGAAUCAAAUGUUCUGGAAAGAGUAUAGGUGGAUCUAUAAAUUUGCUAGAAAACAAAGUAUUUUGACACUUUUGCCAGCCUGUGUCCUGAAUUGCACUGAAGUAAUUGGUGUACUGGAACUGCUGGGAAACAUGAUCCAGUCAUCGAAACCAAGUGGACUGUGGACCAAAUGCAUUGUUUUAAAUCACAGAGAGUUUUUAAAGGGAGUUAAAGUUGGCAGCAANCCUCAUUGUUAUACAAAAUUACAUAUAAGAG
Molecule: long non-coding RNA, 2101 nt
Filed under: Marmota monax (woodchuck)
Lineage: Eukaryota; Metazoa; Chordata; Mammalia; Rodentia; Sciuridae
Source: RNAcentral